Molecule: ribosomal RNA, 421 nt
Filed under: uncultured bacterium
Lineage: Bacteria
Description: partial 16S ribosomal RNA
Rfam family: Bacterial small subunit ribosomal RNA
Source: RNAcentral
AUAUUGGACAAUGGGGGCAACCCUGAUCCAGCUAUGCCGCGUGUGUGAAGAAGGUCUUCGGAUUGUAAAGCUCUUUAAGCUGGGAGUAAGGGCUUUAGGUUAAUACCCUGAUGUUUUGACGUUACCAACAGAAUAAUCACCGGCUAACUCUGUGCAAGCAGCCGCGGUAAUACAGAGUGUGCAAGCGUUAAUCGGAAUUACUGGGCGUAAAGCGCGCGUAGGUGGUUCAGUAAGAUGGGUGUGAAAUCCCCGGGCUUAACCUGGGAACUGCUUUCAUAUAUGCUGAGCUAGAGUACGGUAGAGGGUAGUGGAAUUUCCUGUGUAGCGGUGAAAUGCGUAGAUAUAGGAAGGAACACCAGUGGCGAAGGCGACUACCUGGACUGAUACUGACACUGAGGUGCGAAAGCGUGGGGAGCAAACA